UUUAACAGUUCUUGGGCAGCAAUUAGCAAAUGGGUCAAGUAAUUACUAUUUAAUGUAGUUGCCCUUCUAGAUAAUAUGCUGUUGCUUUUAACAUUGGGUUAGGAAAUGAGAUUCUAGGUGUGGAAUUGAGGAUAUGAAGUAUUCCUCAGGUUGGCAGCUGGAUGAACAUGUCCAAAUUUUAAGGAUUUGGGAGUCUGCAGCACAUAGGUGAUGCAUCUGGACCAGAAUUUUGAGUAAAAAGAGCAGAAUGCAAGGAAAUUGAGAAUGAUGGAGGCUAUAGAAGUGCUACCCUGUUAGUAGGAAACGAGGAGAGCUUGCGGAAGCCUCGAGCAAGGACAAGCUCAGGAAGAGGCAGCAGUCAACUACAUCAAUGCUGCUGAGAAAUGCCCAUUGGAUCUAACCAUGCCAAGGUCACAGGUGACCUCAACAAGAACAGCUGGAGAAGAUGAGAGAAACCAAAAAAGUUUGCUGCAAAGAAUGGUAGUACUAGUUCAAACCCCAAGAGAGUAAAAGGCGUCCCACUUAUCUAAAUAUUUAAAUUGUAAAUGAAACUAAUACCUGUCACAGAAAAGAUAAUGCAUCCAUAUAUUUUGAAAAAAAGUUACUUUGAGGGUUUGGUGGUGCACAUCUAUAAUCCCAGCUACUCCAAGGCUGAGGCAGGAGGAUUGCCAGUUUGGGACCAGCCUCAGCAAUUUAGAAAGCUCAUGUCUCAAAAAGUAGAGGGCUGGGUAGAGAAUCCCUGGGUUCAAUCUCCCAUUAUUGAAAGAG
This 768-nucleotide long non-coding RNA is filed under the name Marmota monax (woodchuck). The record is from RNAcentral. Lineage: Eukaryota; Metazoa; Chordata; Mammalia; Rodentia; Sciuridae.